UACGUAGGGCGCAAGCGUUAUCCGGAAUUAUUGGGCGUAAAGAGCUCGUAGGCGGUUUGUCGCGUCUGCUGUGAAAGACCGGGGCUCAACCCCGGUUCUGCAGUGGGUACGGGCAGACUAGAGUGCAGUAGGGGAGACUGGAAUUCCUGGUGUAGCGGUGAAAUGCGCAGAUAUCAGGAAGAACACCGGUGGCGAAGGCGGCCUGCUGGGCAGUAGCUGACACUGAGGCGCGACAGCGUGGGGAGCAAACAGG
RNAcentral lists this ribosomal RNA (253 nucleotides) under uncultured bacterium. RNAcentral's name for it is "partial 16S ribosomal RNA". It matches the Rfam family "Bacterial small subunit ribosomal RNA", at positions 524 to 776 of the family's 1533-position model. The record is from RNAcentral.